Molecule: long non-coding RNA, 6715 nt
Organism: Parus major (Great Tit)
Lineage: Eukaryota; Metazoa; Chordata; Aves; Passeriformes; Paridae
Exons: 3
Source: RefSeq, a predicted model, not a curated record
CCUGAGCUUCGAGUGACGGCUCGCUCCUUGUCCCCUGCGGCGUCCUCUGCAAAGCUCUUCGCUGUGCCCGGCGCUGCCCCGCGCCCGGUCGUGAGCUGUCGUGUGGGAAUUUGAAAAUGUAUUCCUAGGCAUCCUUCCCCCGGACUGCUCCUUCUUUUCACUUACUUGAGCCUUACAUGUGUUGAGACCUGAUUCUCCCCUACUCUCAGAGCACCCCCGUGCAGAUUUAACAGUUUAGGAAAUCAUAUUCGACCUUCGUAUCUGUUAAUGCUUAGGGUUUGAUUUGUGGAUUUCCAUUCCCACCUGGUUUCAAGGUGUGGCGCCCGGUGGGGUUUUGGCUCUUAUUUUCUGUGUGCUUUAAGCAUUUGUUCAGCACGGCAAGGGCUCAGAAAAUACAAGUUACUUUUAGGUAACCUAAAAGGAUAGGUAACCUAAAAGGAUAGGUAAAUACUAGCUGUUACAGCAAAUGCACUGCACUUCCUAUAAAAUAAUGAUUUCUGGAAUAGGUGUAAGUUCUAGUUAACUCUUAUGAUUUCUCAAUACUGUAAGCCUGUACUAUUUAAAGAGAUGUACUGGCACGUAGAAAUGAUUUAAAAACAUCACUGUGCACUGUACUUCUGUUAUUCUGAUUUACAAGUUAAGUAUGUACAAGGCAAGGUUUGGGGUUUUUUUAAUAAGAAACUAUUGCAAUAGUUUAUACAAAUCUGAGAUAAAAAUGAAUUAUUGAGGGAUUUGGUCAGCCUAGGGAAGAAACUCAAAACUGACAUGGGGUUGAGAGUUAAUUAUAAUGAUGGCAAAGUGGUAGUUGAAACUGUAGCUUCUGGGUUAUGCAGGUGAAAAUAAAAUGGGGAUGUAAACUGUCUAUGGUAACAUCUCACUGGAAAGAUCUGUAUCUGUAAUUUUCUAAUCUGGAGGAGUAUCUGGAGAUAUUCCUUCAGAUUAGAAAAUUAUUUUCCUACACUAUAGUUCACUUUAGAAACACUUUUGUGGUGAUUUAGCAUUCUUUUCUAAUUUGUGACCAGAAGUGGGAGAAGGGAGAGGCUGAUGGGGACUGAGGGCCCCUCUCCUGGGGCUCAUUCUUGUGCUGCCUUCAAGGAAGGCUGUCCCUUAGGCAUAGGGACUGUCCCCCACUAAGGAGCCUCCUCCUCCUGUGGGGUCCCCUCAACAAGACUACAACACACCAAGUGUGCCCUCACUCUCUGCUCAUAUGAAGAACAAAGCUUCUCUCUGCUUUUGUGGCCUCCUUGCUUACCUGCUCCUGCUUUAGGUAGGAAGAACCAGAGGCAGCAUCUGUACCGGAGUCUUCCCACAAGUUUCCAGGAAAAACCUGCCCUUCUCAGACAACUGCCAGAAGGUGGCUUGAAGGCAUGAGAAGAAUGAGGUGAGAGAAUGUCUGCGAGGACAAGCUGUGGUGGACCAACGCCCCAUGCUGUUAUCAAUCCUGCUUCUUGGAGUGGAGAUUUCCAUCAUAGCUUUGACUGUUUCAGGGUCGUUUUGACCCUCUCUCAAUCACAAGCUGAUAAGUACCAUAGUCUAGUUAGCUGUGCUACUUAUUUUUCUCUCUCCAAAUAAUUACAUGGUUAUUUCAUUUCAGGCUGGAAACUCCUUUAACUGAAGGGUGGAAAACCUCUGAAUAGAUACAUUCCCAGCUUUCUGGGGCUGUGUCAAUAACCCCUCUGAUGAUGGUAAUUCUUAAACUAUGCUAAGACACAUGGAAAAUAAGGAGGUGAUUGGUGAUAUCAGGCCAAACCUGUCUUUGCCAGAGCAAAUCAUGCCUGAAAAAUUUGCUUUUAAAACACACAAGAGCAUGUGUUCAGAGAAACAGGCAUGAUGUUCCCUCCAAAAGACUUUAGAGUUAGAACUGAGGAUCCAUAAUAUAUUUAGAAGUAAAAAGUAAAGUUGGGGGAGAACUGUUCUGAAGGUAAGUACCAGUAUUAAUACUGGUACAGGACAUGGGGGUAAUUUCAGACUUGAAGCCACAUGGAAAAGUCACAAAAAGAAGACAGAAGAGGAAUGAUACUUUGUGUAGGAACUGUUAAGACAUCUAAGUUGUUACAAUCAAUUUUGGUGCUUUUAACUGAACAGAGGGUGCCUUGAAAAUGAAACCACAAACAGCAAGAAAAACAGGAAGUAAAAGGUAGGGUACUGCUGUGGUUGCAGCAGAAAGUGUAUCACAGCAAUUUUUUGGCUUCUCAUUUCCAGUACUGGAAAUAUUUUUUAGAAGUAGAGCAAAAAGGUUUGUGGUAACAGACAUAUAGUGCAUGUAUAUCCUACAAAUCUCACACACAACUAGAAAUAAUAUGAAGGUCUCAUUAAAGGAGAAUGUAGCACUCGAUUCCUGAUGCAGUUUUCAUUUGAUUUCUUAUGCAAAUCAAUAUUUUAUUACUUUUUUUUCAACUUAUCUGCAGUUUAUAAGUGCCUUGCUCAUCACAGAGCAGAUAAGUAGUAUCUGAUUGUUUGGCAGAGGCUAAGUAUCCACCAGAUAUUUACGAGAUCAUGGUAGUAGUUUUAAAAAUUCCUGUCUUUUAAAAUUAUAUCAACUUCUGUCUCGUCUGUCAUGUCACUAUAUACACAUGAUAUGUGCAUAUAGUGUACAUAUCAUCCAGUUAUUGAUGGGCAAAAAAGGGCAGUCAGCAUGGGGCGGGGCUUAUUCUUGUGAUGUUUAGGGAUUUAGGGAAGUUUAUUUACUCUUAUUUUUUAUAAACCUUGGGGCUAAUGGGAGGAGGUGUCAGCAGUGGUAUUUCCUAGGAAUUUAUACCCAGCAUCUGUGCUUCAAUGUUAAAAUAAAAUUCCCAAAUGGGGGUACAAAAUGAUGUGACAAAGUUUGCUGAUGACUUGGAAUUAAGGAAUUACUUAGAGGAACAAUAUAGAAAGAAAAUCUUUUGCUUCCUAUCUGCAGAGUAUCUCCUGAUACUCAGUAGCCAGGUGGUAAAGCAGUAAAAGAUAUGUCAGUAAUGUGAACUGACUUGUCUUGAAGAAAAGGCAGCCUUGGCUUUUUUUAAUCUAUUUCUCAUUUUGCUCAGAUUGUGGAUGUGUAAUAAGAAGGUUCUGUGGUAUCAUUGGUGCAAUGUUUAGAGGAGAUCAAAAUAGCAAGUACUAGGAAUAAUGGAAUUGCUAGGAAAAUAAUAGAAUAUAAUGAAAGGGAUUGUUACAUUGCAGCAAAAAUCCAUUGUACAUCUGUAUGGGAAGUAUGACAUGCAGGUUUAUUGUCAUGAAGAGUAGCUUGCUGGAAGUAAAUAGAAAUGGUCACUAUUUUUCAGAAUAACAAGAAAAUAACAAGAAAAAUGAAAUCCUGUGACAGAUUCAGUGGUGCAUGCUGAACAUUGGUGCGUGUCUUUCCUCAGUAUUGCAGGCUGAAAUUUGUCAACUCUCGUCUGUGAAGAGUUAUCCCCCUUUUUGGGCUGCAUUGCAAAUCAGAGUUAAAGUAUAAGCUUAUUAACUGCUUUGUGGGGAAAGAUGAGGUAGAAUCUGAUGUAUCUUUAAAAGAUUUAAGAGAUGAAAGUUCAGGGUGCACUUUUCCCUUUCCUAAGUGUGUUGUGAAAGGUGCAGUUCUGCUCUUUAAGCACUUUGGAUGAAAACUGCUAUAAAACAGUAAAAUAAGAAAAUUGAGGGUUUAAACGAGGAUUCAUGGCCUUUCAUUUUUCUGUCACAGAGCUAUUUGAGGAGAAGUGGCUCUCACUCCCCAGUCCGUUCCCUGAGUAAUUUUUCCCUGCUGCACUUCCAUGGGGAAUGUGCUGAAGACUGAAUCUUUGAGUCAGAGGGUAGCAAGAGUAUUUUGGUCUGGAAGCCAAUUCCCCAGCCUUUCUAGACCCUCCCCAUUAUGAAGCACCCUUUUGUCCACUGUUUCAUCCCAUUGUGCUGAAAUGAAACAUCAUGCUUGUGGACAUCUGUAGACCAGUGCUGACAAUAUUGACAAUUAUUGAAACUGAAAAUACAACACCCAAAAUAUAUCCGUGUGCUCAUUGGAACAAUGAGUUAUAGACUGGAUGUGGUUUUGUUUCUCACACUGAAAAAAAGGGCAGUAUUUAGUAAAAAAGCAUUGUUGGUGUCCCUGCUGGACCCUAACAUUAUCUUAUUCCUGAAAAACUCACUGAGGAAAUUUGAAUGUUACAAGAAUAAGAGGAUAUGGUUGCAAGCUCUGCUUCAUCCUGUGUUGUUUUGGACCCUGGCCAUCAGGAAACAUUUUGGCUCUCUCAGAGAUGAAACACUUUCUCUUCAGAAGUAGUAGUGUGAGCAAGAUGUGUAAAUAAUCUGUGGCAAGCAGCGACUUUGUGACAGAAAGGGAUAUCAUCUAAACCUUUCCUUUCUUUGAUGAAAUUUUAAAGAGAUUUCUACAACUGAUGUGCCAGGAGGGAAUUUGCAAGGUUUGCAUUGACCUACAUAAACCGUAUUUGAACAUAAAAGCAGAUUAAAAGUUGUUUCACUCUGCUUCUGUUACCCUUUGUACUCUGUCAGCCACUGAUCUUUAUUCUUUGUUAAUCCAUAUAUGUUUAAUGCAGCAUUGCAAAUAUUUUUCCUCAUGUCUUAAGUAUUCAUAAAAAUAAGGCUGGUGAGAAUAUUUGAAAGAACAUUGUUUGUAAUUUUCUUGCUUCUGCACAGCUGUGUGUCUAGAAACUGGAAACACAGGCAGACGAAUGGAAAUAAAUCACAAUGCAAACUGUUUCAAAAGAAAUUAUGUAUCCUGGAGUAUCCCAGAUCAGGAUAACAUUUUGUUGCAUAGCUUGAGUUUUAUUUCAAAAGAUUGACUCUAUAUAGAUAUUUGCUUUUCUAUCUUAACUAGUUAUUUUACUAAAUGUAUUUAAUUCAGAUAAAAAGUUAUGUGGUUGAUCUGAUCAAUUUAUGCCGUAGGUCAGUGGAGGGGAAGCAGAGAAAGGACAGUCUGAAGCAAAGGGAAUGGAAAACCUUGUGGAGGAAGAAAGCCAAGAUUGUCACAAAAUGCUAUAACUAAUACUCCGAAGAAUAUGUGUUUUGCAGAAGCAGGAAUGAAAUAGGGAGGAUGACUGUGGAGUCCAAGAAGGAUUAUCUGACACGUGAUUUCUCUGAAGAAAUUCACCCUAGAAGAUCAGAAGAGAAAUUCCCAAUGUGCUCUGCACACCCAUACUUGGGUGUACCAGCUCAGUCCACACGGAGUUCCUGCUACAUUGGUGGAAUUGUUCUGUUGGAUGGUGUAUUCACAGAGAUAGGGCUUGUAACAAGGCCAGAACUGUGUGGUAAGUCCAUCAGCUGUACCCCGUGUCUUGAAAUUUCUCAGUGAGCUGUGCACACAUGACCACACACUGCUUUUUUUUUCCCUUCCCACGCACACAAACACUGUGGUAAUUUGUUCAGUGAGUUGUGACAUGUAUUAAUGCUGUUAGCCUCUGAUAUUGGGUUCUUUUUUUCUGGGGGCUGACCACAACAAUCCUAUCUGAAAAGUUUUCCAUCAAACUCAGAGCUAAUUUUCAUUAAAGGUCUCUCCAGUUUAGUCCCUCAAGCAUGGGUGUCUUUCUACUCCCUCCUUGAAUGCAAGGAGCAAAGGAAAGCAAUAAAUCCCUUUGAAUAAUGUGCCAGUGCUCUACUGUUACAUAACUAAUGAAUGUCAUCCCUAAGUAGAAGAUGCCUAUUUACCAACAAAAGAAUAUUGGCAAGGAUUUAAAGUAUUUAAAAAUAAUUCUGCUGCUUGCAGAAUUUGGGUCAUUGACCCUUAACAUGAAAACUGGUUUUACAAAUGUCCUCCAGGGAACACAUUGUGUACUUAAUUUUCCUUAUGAAAACUACAAAAAAUUGUACACUAAAAUGCAAGUAUUGAUUAAGGCCCAGACUCACAACAGAUUAAGGCUUAGACAGGGAUAUGAAAACACUUCAGAGAAUGUACUUGAUAGGAUAAUUUCUUUUUACCAAUGCACACUGUGUGACUACAAGUAAAAGUAUGACAUAAGGAAUUGUUCAAUACAUUUUUAAUAGUAGAAUAUUUGCAUGGGCUUGCAAUGCUUAAAGAACUGUGAAAUUUUGUUACUGAGGAACAUAGGGUAGCUACAAGAAGCUUCAUGCAAUUAGCUUGUAUAAGAAAGGUAAAACCACAUUUUGUUGGGAAGGGCUUGGAUCCUUCAUGGAGCUACAGGAAUAUGGGCAGCUGGGAGAAGACCUUAUUAACCCUUUUCUUAGCCUGUGGAAGUCUCUCUCUUGUGUAGGACUCCUAUUGGUAGUGCUGGUUGGUUUGUUUGAACUUCUCAAUAUGGGAUAAUUCAAGUGAAUACUCAAUAUGCAGUUUUAUCAUCCUCUGCCUUUGGAUGUCUGAUUAAGCAUGACUAGUUGUGAUUGGGAUUUUAAAUACUAGCAGGCUUCCAAAUUACCUCAAUUAUCUUUGCCCCAGGAAUGAUUGCUAUUUCCAGGCAUGCAUCCUGUUGCCCGCAGUUUCUCACACAGGAUUUCUGGCACCAUUCUUACAGUAAUAGCCCUUAGCACAGCACACUACAGACUAAAAACUGUCCCACAGUACCUCCUGAGUACACUGCAGCACUGACACACUUUCUGCAUGCAUUUUCUAACUCUUCUGUUCCACUCUAUUUUAGGAAUAUUCAGAAACUUCAUUUUUUUUAGAUUUAUUUAAAAUUAUAGCAGUUGUGUCUGCUUAGACUAUAUUUUAUCCCAAAAGCAUUUCUUACAGUUUCUUCUCUCAGUAAAUAAACCAUCUGCAAAGGGGAGUUUGUAAAAAAAAAAAAAAAAAAAAAAAAAA